Molecule: long non-coding RNA, 9509 nt
Filed under: Nicotiana tabacum (common tobacco)
Lineage: Eukaryota; Viridiplantae; Streptophyta; Magnoliopsida; Solanales; Solanaceae
Description: long non-coding RNA (NTAB_LNC000153)
Source: RNAcentral
GGAGAGCGCCAGAACAGUGGAAAGGUCGCCGAAAACCCAUAGGUCCAACAACGGGAAGUACUAAACUAGUCGGAGAUGAGCCAACAACCGCAAAAAUUGAUAAAACAACAAAACACAUGAAGGACUAGCCGACGAUGAACUUCAGUGUAGUUGAAAGGAUAACAACAACAAAGAAGUUCAUCGGAAAAGUUGAAACUCCAGCCAAAUUUCUUGAAACCACAAAAUGAAGUUUCUUACCAGAUUUUUUACAGAUCUGGUUUUUAAAUACUGAGCAUACAAAAAAUCAUAUAACAGAGGGGAAAGAAAGUCACCGGAAAACUAAAAAAGGGUCAGAUCUGAUUCGUCCAGCUAGUUUCAAACCUGAAAAUCAACAAACCAUUAGAACAAGUAGAGAAGGGGAAGUGAAGGGAAGGAGGAGGAGGAGCAGCAGCGGCGCCUACCAUCAAAGUCGCCGGCCAAAUUGGUGGUAAAAUCCAGUGGCGGCAACACACAAUAGGGGAGAAGGGAGAUGGCCGCAGCGGUGGCCAUUGGAGUGGCCGUAGUUGCCUGUUUUCGGGCUGGUUUCGCCGGCGAGGGGAUGGUGCAGAAAUGAGAGAGAGAGAGAGGCGAGUUUGAGGGGGUGGCGGCUGCCAUCUCUCACUUGAGAGAAGAGAAAAAUGAGGGAACUAAUUAGGGUUCCCAUCAUAAAAAAAACUGAUCUAUUGUAUGAAUUUAAAACCCCCCCAAAAAUGUGUAGUCUUCCCCUUUAUUUAUAUAAAAAAUGAGGGCACCCUUUUACCCAUUAGACAAAGAAUGUAAUCAUUAUUUUUUAAUCUGUCUCAUAGUUAUUGUCCAAUACACAAAAUUAUGUUAAGUAAUAUCUAUGUUAUGUCACAUCGCAUAUCUGGUAUGCAUUAUCACAUCAGACGUUGACGGAAUAUUGAAUUUGAGCGGACUUGAUCCGUAUUUUAAAGUAAACUCUAUUGGCUUCUAUGUAAUUAAAUAGACUGUGUUAUGAAUUAAAGUAUGAUUAUUUAAAUAGAAAAUCUUGUAGUAUUUAUUUAAAAAUAUCUACUAUAAUUGUGUUGUAGUAAUUAUUAUUUUAUUUUUGAAAAGACAAUAAAUUGAUAGAAUAACCUAAUAUUUCGAAAAUAGGACAAUUAUCGAUAAUUGUUUUGAAAUUUAUAAAAAGGCACAAAAUGGUAGUAUUUAACCAAUUCUAAUAAAAUGAUAAAAAUUUCUAUAUUUUACAAAAACGGGAAUAAUUAUCAAUAAAUUUCAUAAGAGCUAAAUAAUAUGCAAAUUACUACAUUAUAUCAUCUUUUACUAGGAAGCCUGCAAAAGUUAAUUUUUAAAUACGGAGGGUAAAAAUUGAGUGUCAAUAACUGUCACGACCCCAAAUUCCCUCUGUAGGAUGUCGUGACGGCACCUAGUCUCUAAGACUAGGUAAGCCUAACAAUACGCGGAAACAUCGAAUAAAAACUUAAAAUUUCAAAACUUCAAUAAUUUCACCAAUAGACUAUAAGCUCAAUACGUACAAUUUUCCCAAAACCUAGUGAGAUAUAAGUCAUAAACUCUAGAUACAAUGCUGAACAAUCCUAUACAUCAUUGUCUAUCAAAAACAUUGUAUACGGAUAAAACCGGACCCAUAAGUCGGCCUGAUUCCCGAUAAAAUAAAUCGAGUAAGGAACGCGAUGACAAAGAACCAGAAUCGAGGCAAGGGUCUCACCGAGUCAGGCAUCGGGGGCACGACGCCCACCCUCGAGUAUAUCGAGGCCAUGAGCCCAGAUCGGUCCAAAUCUCAAGAGACUUCGGAGAGCAUUAUUGGGCGAUCGAAUACGAUUAACAGAAGGCCGUGACAUCCGCGAUCAACCGGGUAUCAUUGCGCAGAUCUCGGCACAUACCGACGGGAAUCCAGUAAUCAAUUAAACGGGAGAUUUUUACCUUUUUAUAGAAUUGUACUUAGGGUAAAACUCCCCUACUAUAUAAAGGGGAGUCUGAUUAUUCAUUAGACACAUUGUAACACACAUCCUAAAGAAUAUACUGUUAUUUUUUCACUAUUAUUUAUAGUUCUUAUUCUCGUUCAUCAGUGUUGGACAUCAUGAAUCCAAAUCGAGGGUGGAUAUUUCAUCAAGGCUGGAAUUAUCCUCCACACGUGGUUUGAGUUUACUAUACCUUUAUUUGUUUAAUCUAACGCAAUUUAUCGUUCGUAUCGAAUUAAUCCAUGUAUGCUUAAAACCAUUUAUAAAUUUAAUUGUUAUCCAUUUUUUAGGAUAAACAGUUUGGUGCCCACCAUGGGGCUAAGAAUAAUAGUGGCAAUUUGAUAUGAAUUUCCAUAACGCACCCUAUUUUACACUUGUUCUUUGAAGUGUCUUCAAUUUCAGGUCAAAGUUCAAAAUGUCGAACUCCUAAUUUGCACCUCUAAACGUGGAUGUUGAGUCCAGUCACCAUGGCGAGAACAACACUAUAGUACCCAGUAACGAGGUCCCCCUAUCUAUCCCAGCGGUGUUCCGAUCGCGGACCCAAUCGAUGCUAACUCACAUGUGGCCAUCAACACGAAUCUGCCAACCGAUCCUAAGAAAAAUGUUCGGGGGGGUGGGUGGGGAGGGUGGGGGGAUCGAUAGCCCAAAAUACACACGUCAGUGAAGGAGGUGAGGUCAACUUGCGAGAGAUCUUGGAAAUGUUGCAGGCCCAACAGGCAGCGAUAGCCCAGCUACAGAGCUAGAGCCGCACCCCCCAGCAGAAUUGAGCCCGAGCCGUCUCAGGAAAUCACUUGCAAAAAUGAAUCAAUUACGGAGAGGCCAAGCGAAGCUGAACCCGGGACUAACCCCGAGAUCAUAAAAAUGCUCGAAGAACUGACGAAAUGGGUGGAAUUGGGAGAAACGAAAAUUGAGGCCAAUGAUAAAAAGGUAGAAACCUACAAUUCUAGGGUCGACCAAAUCCCAGAAGCACCGCCGAUAUUGAAGGGUCUAGAUUCUAAAAAGUUUGUUCAGAAGCCUUUCCCCCCGAGCGCGGUUCCGAAGCCAAUUCCAAAGAAGUUUCGCAUGCCCGAAAUUCCUAAGUAAAACGAAACAAUCAACCCAAAUGAGCUUGUGACCUCCUACACAUGCGCUAUCUAAGGGAACGACUUGGUGGAUGAUGAGAUCGAGUCUGUCCUGCUGAAAACAUUCGGGGAAACUUUGUCAAAGGGAGCUAUGAUAUGGUAUCACAACUUACCCCUAAUUCUAUUGACUCGUUUGCUAUGCUUGCAGACUCCUUUGUAAAAGUACACGCCGGGGCCAUCAAGGUCAAGACUAGGAAGUCAGACCUUUUCAAAGUGAAUCAGAGAGAUAAUGAGAUGCUCAGGGAAUUCGUGUCUUGAUUUAAAAUGGAACGAAUGGACCUACCUUCGGUCGCGGACGAUUGGGCCGUAUAGGACUUCAUCCAAGGACUCAAUACUCGAAGCUCAUUGGCUUCACAACAGUUGAAGCAAAAUCUGAUAGAAUAUCCGGGUGUGACUUUGGCCAAUGUACAUAACGGGUAUCAGUCAAAAAUUAGGGUUGAAGAUAAUCAGCUUGGGGCCCUUUCCGAGUCUGUUUAUCCCGUCAGAGCUAUCACCAGAUCCAAGAGAGACAUUGAUCGUGAACCGAGAUCAAAUAGGGAUCAGUAUCAACCAUACAAUAGAGACCGAAGAGGUAAUGGGUCCGGACGAAACCCUGAGCUGGUGUGGAUGACAAAGGCUAGCAUUAAAGUUAUACUAGUGAUCUAGAUUCCAACUACUACUUGUUCAUGGUAGUUUAGGACUUAUAAUUCUAUUUAUGUAAACUUAAAACAGAUGUUGUAUUUAUUCUUCGUACCAGAGUUGUAUUCUUAAUCUUAAUGGCACAUGAGUUGUACUCUCAAUCCUUGGGAUCGUUGUAUGGAUAUUUGUCAUAUUAUAUAUUGAUUAUUGAUGAUAAUUUAUUCGAGUUGUGUUAUUUAUUUUUUGUCUUACCUAGAAUUGGGGGGGGGGGAAGUGUCACAAGAUUAGGUGGGAUUUUGAGUCGUGACAAGUUGGUAUUCAAUCUCUGGUUCAUAGGUUUUAUGAGUCAUGAGAAAGUUUCUAAUAAAUUCUUACAGAUCGUAUGAUGACAUCCAUACUUAUCUUCAAGAGGAUACAAGGCAACUAGGAAACUUUACCUUCUUUCUUUUCCUUAUCGUGCGGCCUUGAUUCACUAGAAGGCACGUAUCUUCGAUUUCCUCCCAUUCGUUUGUCUAUGAUGUUGUGUACUCAGUAUCAAUUGUGAACCAACGGCUUGGGAUUUCGUAGGUGAGGUGCGAGAUAUUCUUUUUUGUUGUAAAGGUAGGCCAUUCUGGAGGACUUGAGGCUAGAUUUAGACUACAGCUUGGGCUCGGCAGAUUCAGCUUUGUGAGUGUUAUGACCCAAUAGGUCAUUUUGAGUUCUAGCCCUUAUUUUUCGAGACCUCUAUUAGCCCCAUUUAGCAGAAAUAUUUUAUGUGAAAAUUUGAAAAAAAAAAUAUUAUUUUUAGCUUUAAAAAUGACUUGAUUUGACUACUCGCAACAUUUUAUGUAAACGAUCCCAGAUCAGUAUUUUGACGAUCCCGGUGGGUCCGUGUCGUAUUUUUGGAUUUGGGCGUAUGUCCGAAAUUGAAUUCGAAAGUCCCUAACUUGAUUUGGCUUGAUUUGUCGAAAACUAGUAAUUUGAAAGUUUAAAGACUUCCUAGGUUUGACCGUAGGUUGACUUUAUAGCAAUCAGGUUCAACUUUUGGUUCCGAGACUUGGUAUAGGUCCAUUUUACUAUUUAAAACUUGUCUGCAAAAUUUGGUGCAAAACGGAGUUGGUUUGAUAGGAUUUGGACGCUCGGUUGUGAAUUUUGAAGUUGUUGAGUCUCUUUGAAAUUUUCAUGUAUUUUAUGUCUGAUUCGUAGUUCUAGUAUUAUUUUAAGGUUAUUACUCUUGUGUGCAUAUUUUUUUUGUAGCGCGAGGGGCUCGGAUGAGUUGCAGGUAGGCUACGGGUCAUUUUUGGACUUAGAAUUGCUGGUUUCAGCUAUUUGUUGGUGUCUGAUGCUAUGUGCUUUGCGAUCACGAAUCCUCUCUCGCGAUCGCAAAGGGGAAACUGGGACAUGGUUGGAGUUCUUGUAUGCGAACACGGAGUAUUGGUCGUUAAUGUGAAGCAGUGGAGGGCUUACCUUUCGUGAAUGCAACCGUUCACACGCGAACGCAAAGGUUUAAGGGGAUUCUGGGGGAGGUAGGUGGUUACCCUUCAGGAACGCGGGCGUUGGCUCGCGAACGUAAAGGCAUGGGGGAGAAAGCCAUCGCAAACGCAAAGGCCAUUUGGGCCACUAUGCAUCGCGAUCGCAUCAGGUGUCUCGCGAAUGCGAAGAACACCUAACGCCUUAUGAUUUAAAGUUUGAAAAAUCAGAAUUCUUCUCAUUUUUCACUAUUUUCAAGUUUGAGAUCGGCCUAGAGGCUAUUUUGAAGAGAUGUUUCAUCCCAACUUCACAGGUUAGUAGUUUUUAACUUUUUUCCUUAUAUUUCCAUAAGCACCCAUUGAUUUUAACCUUUAAUAUAUAUUUUUUCAUGGUAGAAAUUAGGGAUUUAGGUUGAAAUUGAAGAUUUUGAGAAAUUGAGAUUUAGUCCUCAAAUUGAGAUCGGAUUUUGAAACUAGUCACAUAACCGAGCUCGGGGGUAAAUAGGUAAUUGGGUUUUGGUCCGAAUUUCGAGUUUUGACCAAGCUAGUCGGGGGUUGACUUUUGUUGACUUUUUCAAAAUCAUUAAAAAUUGAAUCUUUUUCACUCGUGGGUAGUUUCUAAACCCUAUUCUGAAUUACUUGAACUAUAUUUGGUUAGAUUUGAUUGGUUUGGAGGUUUAGUAUUGAUUUGGUUGCGGAGUGAGGUAUGCGUCGUGGUUAACUUUGACUUGAGAGAUUAGGGCUUAUUGGUCUAUUUGCUACGUGUUUUAUGUGUGGGGACAAUGUAUAUAUGAGGUGACGAGGAUCUAUGCAUUGUCAUUGGGUUAAAGCUUUUUAAUUAUUCGUUUCGUAUUUUUUACUUAUUUUAAAGAUGUGAAUAUUUGAAAGUUGAGUUUGAUAUUAUGGCACCAUAAUUUAAGGGAAAUUGUCUCCCUCCUUGCUUUUAUUAUUUGGAUUUGUAUUGGUGCUUGGUGAGGAAGAGAGAAAAGUACGAAGGAUGUUGGCAUGCCUUAUUUGCAUUCAUUAUCAUACAUUGAGAGAUUUGAGAGUAAAUGCACGAAGAGUGAUGUCGUGCCGGUGAAUGAAAGCACGAAGGGUGAUGCCAUGUCAUUUCAUUUACGAUAUUACAUGGUGAGGAUGAGAGUAAAAGCACAAAGGGUGAUGCCAUGCCAUUUUCAUAUCAUUGAAUUAUUCNNNNNNNNNNNNNNNNNNNNNNNNNNNNNNNNCACUUACGGAGUACAUUAGGUCGGUUGUACUCAUACUACACUUCUACAUUUCUUGUGUAGAUAUUGGUAUUGGUCCCAGUAAUGCUUAGAGGUGCGUAGGAUCGAAUCACAUUUGUUGCACCCUAUUUUGCACAAGUGAAAAUAAUCUACAACUUGUAGUACUCUACAAGGUUAAUUGGAGUUUUAGAGUUCUAGGUAAGAGUUCUAGGUAUGAUUAAAACAAUGUACAACUAUUGCAAAGAAUAAAAGAAUGAUUAACAUGUACUCGAAUGAAUAGUAAUGAUAUAAAAUAUGUAAUGAAUUAUGUGCGGAUGAAGUAUGCAAGUACUUUUUGUGUUUUUGAAAUGGAAUGACUAAGACGCAUACAAAAUAUAUGUAAAGUGGACAAGGAAAUCGUACUCCAAAAGAUAAGCUGAGUGUAAAGUGAGUUCUAGAUAAGAAUAGCAAAAUAUUUUACAAAUAUAUGUGUAACAAAGUGAAGUAUAUGAAAGAAUUAAACGGAUAUUAAAGAAUGGUAUUUUAAUGUAAUUUUAAUAAUAUGAUAAGAAUUACACCUAAAAAUACAUGUUAACUUAAAGUGUUUGAAUAAAAUCAUGAACUUACAAGAAUAAAUUUGAAGAGAAAAGACUAAUAAUUAAAGUUUAAAGGUUAAGAUGGACGACUACAACAAGAAGAAACAUAUACUAAACGAUUGAGAAAAAGGGGGAAGAGUAUUUAUUAGCACAUGGGCAGGUAUUUAACAAGUAAUUCAACCAAAGAGUGUUAAAAGAAUUAUCUCAAUGUAUGAUGAGCAAAGUGAAAUAAUUAUUUUUAUUUUUAAAGAAUAAAUGUGGUAUAGGAAGAAUGUACCAAAAUGUUUGACAUAAAAAAAACUAUUAUAUCAAUAUGAAGAAGCAUUCGCGCUAAAAAGAUAGAGUCAUCAUUUCAUAAGGAACCAAGAUCACCUUUAGAGUCACGGUGUUGAAACACAAAUUGUGUGAACCAAGCCCAAAUGACUACAAGGCCCAAGUCUUUCAAAAAGGCAUAAUAAUUCAAUUAAAACUUCUUUACAAAUUAUGUCUACUCGAAAUGUAUUAAUUAAAGAGUAAUUUACAUAUAGAGAGAUUCGAAAGGCAUACUAGUAUAACUUUAAGAAAAUACGAUAAAAUGAUUUAUUUUUAUUUUUUCAUGAAAAGAGGAUGACAUGUUUUUAUUUCAAGUAUACACCUAACCUAAUUGACGACUAAGUUUAAAAAUAUAUUUGACAUCCUAAGUGUUCAUACAAAUUAUGCCAAUUACCCAAUUUAUAACGUUACAAGUUAGUCAGAUUAUUAACUAAAUACAAUUCACCCUAAGUGUUUGCAAAUAGGUAAACAUCAAAGAAAACAAGAAAGCACGGCAUCUAUCUACCACUUUACUAUACUUUACGUUUUGAGUACAUCCGAGAAUAAGAAGUACGAAGCGGGGAAUUUGGUGGGGUUCGUCUUCGUCUCCGAGCGUCGUCUUUCCAAAGCGUUUUCUUUUAAAGUACCUCGCAAGAUAAGAGAAAUGAAAUUAUUAGCGAAAUAAUAUAAUGUAAAAGAUAAACUAAUAAACUGACAUGUUUUUCAAAUGGUUUUUGUUUUAAAAUGUUUUUGGAAAGUUUCUCUUGAAAAUGAUUUUGUUUUUGAAAGAUAUUUUUGGAAAAAUGUUUUUGGCACAUUAUUUUUGGAAAAUAGUUUUGGAAAAUAAUUUAUAAUUAAUAUAGGAGGCUCAGAUAUGUGUUUUUGAUUUUCGACUAGACAUGAGAACGGGAACCGCCUCACUUGCAACUCCAGUGGCCAACCAUGUCGCCCUCCAUAGGUUGUUGGUUCGUGUUCUUGUCUUUUUUUUUUCGAUGUUUAUCAUCAUCGCAUCGUUAUUCGGGCCCGAUCCGGAAGGUAAUUCGGGGCGUUGUGGCUUCCAAAAUUUAUUCUCAUCGGCCCAGUUCAAAUGUAUCAUCUGCUAAAAUCAGUUUUAAUCAAAAGCCAAAGAAGAUGCCAAAAUCAGUCCCAAUCUCGUUCAACCAACAUUGGAGAACACAGAGAUAAAGUGUCAUUAACAGUGAGCAGCCAGGUCUACGUGAGCAACAAAGAGACAAGGAACACCAAUGUAUUAUCAAUAGUACAACAAAGAAGCGGAUAGCUGCAACUUAGCAAAGACAGAUUUCACCAUAACAUGGACAUCACAGGGAGCGAGGGCAAAUUUCACCAAACCAACAUAGACGUGGCGGCAAACUUCAAAACCCAACACAAUUGUGAAGAUAAAAAUACGAAUCAGAACCAAACGGGUCUCAAGAGCUAGAGAUACUAGGAAUGAAACAAAACAUCACAAAUAGGCACAAUAGUAAAGCCUUAAGCAGUAAUGACCACAAAACAUAUAUGAGUUGCUGGAACCAUAGCCAUGGACGACGGAGAGCGCCAGAACAGUUGAGAGGUCGCCGAAAACCCAUAGGUCCAUCAAUGGGAAGUACUAAAUUAGUCGGAGAUGAGCCAACAAACACAAAAAUUGAUAAAACAACAAAACACACGAAGGACUAGCCGACGAUGAACUUCGGUGUAGUUGAAAGGAUAACAACAACAAAGAAGUCCGUCGGAAAAGUUGAAACUCCAGCCAAAUUUCUUGAAACCACAAAAUGAAGUUUCUUAUCAUAUAUAACAGAGGGGAAAGAAAGUCACUGGAAAACUAUAAAAGGGUCAGAUCUGAUUCGUCCAGCUAGUUUCAAACCUGCAAAAUCAACAAACCAUUAGAACAAGUAGAGAAGGGGAAGUGAAGGGAAGGAGGAGGAGCAGUAGCAGUGGCGCCUGCCAUCAAAGUCAUCAGCCAAAUUGGUUGUAAAAUCCAGUGGUGGUGUCGCACAAUAGGGGAGAAGGGAGAUGGCAGCAGUGGUGGCCAUUGGAGCGGCCGUAGUCGCCUGUUUUCGGGCUGGGUUCGCCGGCGAGGGGAAGGUGCAGAAACGAGAGAGAGAGAGAGGCGAGUUUGAGGGGGUGGCGGCUGCCAUCUCUCACUUGAGAGAAGAGAAAAAUGAGGGAACUAAUUAGGGUUCCCCUCAUAAAAAAAACUGAUCUAUUGUGUGAAUUUAAAACCCCCCAAAAAAUGUGUAGUCUUCCCCUUUAUUUAUAUAAAAAAUGAGGGCAC